RNAcentral lists this ribosomal RNA (117 nucleotides) under Frullania nodulosa. RNAcentral's name for it is "partial 26S ribosomal RNA". It matches the Rfam family "Eukaryotic large subunit ribosomal RNA", at positions 1 to 115 of the family's 3401-position model. The record is from RNAcentral. Lineage: Eukaryota; Viridiplantae; Streptophyta; Jungermanniopsida; Porellales; Frullaniaceae.
UUGGACCUCAGAUCAGGCAAGAUCACCCGCUGAGUUUAAGCAUAUCACUAAGCGGAGGAAAAGAAACUAACAAGGAUUUCCUUAGUAACGGCGAGCGAACCGGAAGUAGCCCAGCUU